CCGGGAAAUUCUGCACUAGAAUUGAGCUCAAAACAAUUGCCUAAUGUGCGUAAUCUAAAACUGAGAAUAGAGUUUUGGUCUCCAUUUGGGCACAAUCUUAAGAGAGAGAGAGAGAGAACAAAAAAAGAAAAAAAAAACCCUAAAUCAAACCUGCAGUGCGCGCUCUCGAAAUUUGGAAUGGUCGAGCUGUUUGGUUAUAUUUUCCAGAAAUGAAAGUCGAAAAGCGAACUACAGA
RNAcentral lists this unclassified non-coding RNA (235 nucleotides) under Hevea brasiliensis (rubber tree). The record is from RNAcentral. Lineage: Eukaryota; Viridiplantae; Streptophyta; Magnoliopsida; Malpighiales; Euphorbiaceae.